AACGAACGCUGGCGGCAGGCCUAACACAUGCAAGUCGAACGCUGUAGCAAUACAGAGUGGCAGACGGGUGAGUAACGCGUGGGAACAUACCCUUCGGUUCGGAAUAACUCAGGGGAAACUUGAGCUAAUACCGGAUACGUGCGAGAGCAGAAAGAUUCAUCGCCGAAGGAUUGGACCCGCGUUCGAUUAGCUUGUUGGUGAGGUAAUGGCUCACCAAGGCGACGAUCGAUAGCUGGUCUGAGAGGAUGAUCAGCCACAUUGGGACGUGAGACACGGACCCAAACUCCUACGGGAGGCAGCAGUGGGGAAUAGUUGGAC
RNAcentral lists this ribosomal RNA (318 nucleotides) under uncultured bacterium. RNAcentral describes it as "bacterial SSU rRNA". It matches the Rfam family "Bacterial small subunit ribosomal RNA", at positions 29 to 370 of the family's 1533-position model. The record is from RNAcentral.